Mauremys mutica (yellowpond turtle) is the source of this 1296-nucleotide long non-coding RNA. RefSeq lists it as uncharacterized. NCBI's taxonomy places the organism in Eukaryota, Metazoa, Chordata, Testudines, Geoemydidae. The transcript is spliced from 3 exons. The record is from RefSeq and is a predicted model, not a curated record.
CCGCCCCCGAGGCGCAGAAGGCGGGUGCGGGGGCGCGGGCAGUGAGGAGGAGGAGGGCGGUGUCCGGAGCUAGGCGGUUGCUGUGCUCGGCUGAGGGAGACUCAGCCCCUUAGGAAGCCCGCCCAGUCCGAAUCAGUAAAGUACAAGGGACUUGUGGCCUCGGUGGUGUCUUGGAGCGGGGUGUCGCUGAGUAAUGCCUGGGCCUUAGGGAGCUGAUCCCACGGACAGCCACCAAUUCACCGCCUGACCCUGGACAAGUCACUUAUCCUUCCUGUGCCUCGGUACCCCAUCUCUACCCUGGGCAUAAUAACACAGCGCCCUGAGGGUGGCGAUAGGGAGAUGCCAGCUAGAGGGAGUCACUGAAGUGUGUUUAAUUAUUACCACUUAUGACUAGUCAGUGUUUAAGGGAUGUACCUGAGCACAAAGGCCUGGAAACACCCUCCCUGUUAUUAUUUAGUACCUGUACUAUUAGGGCCUGGGGUCCCACUGUACUAAGCACUGGUCUCACAAUGAAAAGAGAAAGGAUCAGUGAGUUUACAGUUUAAGGAUACGCUGAGCCAUGGAUGCACAGAUGAUGACAAGGAAAUGGAGAUGAUCAAGAUAUGUCUCAAGCAGAGCGUGCAUCCAAAUGGUGACCUGCAUUUCCGGUGUUUCAAACUACCUCAUCAGCCCAGACUUCAUGCUGGAAAUUAUCAGUAAAAUUGACAACUCUUGCUAAGAGAGAUCAGCACUAUUCAUUUGUAUGGAGCUACUGGAACAUUAGUAGGACCUUCAGCUCCUGAGAGGGAAACCUUUCCAUUGGGAGGACAGUAGCAACACCCCACAGACAGAGGCAGACAGAGAAGAAUCCUGGAGGAUCUGCUCAUUGCAUGGGGGAAUCUGCUCAUUGCACAGGAGGAACCAGGAUCCGUUUGAAUUCUUCAGGGAAAGGAGGAUUCAGGAAGAGACACUGAUGAAAUGGUUCCUGAAGCAAGAGGCGCGUCUUAGGGAAUGGGAGCCUUCCCUAAUGGAGAGGCUCAUAGAACUGGUGGCCAAACAAGUUGGGAGUCUACCUGCUGUCAUGACAACUACACCUGUUAAUGAACUGCCAUUACUACCACCAUCUGCUCCUCCUCUGUCUGCUGCCAAGGGCACUGCCGAGGUGAAGGAGCCAACACUCCCAACUGACUGGGAGGAGAACAUGGAGCCCGCAGUACUCCCCAGAUCAGACGUUCCGCUGAUGCCCAACACUCUUUGCUGGGGGGGCCUCCCUGAGCUCCCAGGCAGGGAACAGUGAGCCUGAGGAAGUCUCUGAAU